AACGAACGCUGGCGGCAUGCCUAACACAUGCAAGUCGAACGAGACCUUCGGGUCUAGUGGCGCACGGGUGCGUAACGCGUGGGAAUCUGCCCUCUGGUACGGAAUAACCCAGGGAAACUUGAGCUAAUACCGUAUAAUGACUUCGGUCCAAAGAUUUAUCGCCUGAGGAUGAGCCCGCGUAGGAUUAGCUAGUUGGUGAGGUAAAAGCUCACCAAGGCGACGAUCCUUAGCGGUCUGAGAGGAUGAUCAGCCACACUGGGACUGAGACACGGCCCAGACUCCUACGGGAGGCAGCAGUGGGAAUAUUGGACAAUGGGCGAAAGCCUGAUCCAGCAAUGCCGCGUGAGUGAUGAAGGCCUUAGGGUUGUAAAGCUCUUUUACCCGGGAUGAUAAUGACAGUACCGGGAGAAUAAGCCCCGGCUAACUCCGUGCCAGCAGCCGCCGU
RNAcentral lists this ribosomal RNA (445 nucleotides) under uncultured bacterium. RNAcentral's name for it is "bacterial SSU rRNA". It matches the Rfam family "Bacterial small subunit ribosomal RNA", at positions 29 to 521 of the family's 1533-position model. The record is from RNAcentral.